AGUGAACGCUGGCGGUAGGCCUAACACAUGCAAGUCGAACGGCAGCACAGUAAGAGCUUGCUCUUACGGGUGGCGAGUGGCGGACGGGUGAGGAAUACAUCGGAAUCUACUUUUUCGUGGGGGAUAACGUAGGGAAACUUACGCUAAUACCGCAUGCGACCUACGGGUGAAAGCAGGGGAUCUUCGGACCUUGCGCGAUUGAAUGAGCCGAUGUCGGAUUAGCUAGUUGGCGGGGUAAAGGCCCACCAAGGCGACGAUCCGUAGCUGGUCUGAGAGGAUGAUCAGGCACACUGGAACUGAGACACGGUCCAGACUCCUAAGGGAGGCAGCAGUGGGGAAUAUUGGAAAAUGGGCGCAAGCCUGAUCCAGCCAUACCGGGUGGGUGAAGAAGGCCUUCGGGUUGUAAAGCCCUUUUGUUGGGAAAGAAAAGCAGCAGGUUAAUACCCCGCUGUUCUGACGGUACCCAAAGAAUAAGCACCGGCUAACUUCGUG
This 492-nucleotide ribosomal RNA is filed under the name uncultured bacterium. RNAcentral describes it as "partial 16S ribosomal RNA". It matches the Rfam family "Bacterial small subunit ribosomal RNA", at positions 29 to 507 of the family's 1533-position model. The record is from RNAcentral.